This is a long non-coding RNA of Rhinopithecus roxellana (golden snub-nosed monkey), 814 nucleotides long. RefSeq lists it as uncharacterized. The transcript is spliced from 3 exons. The record is from RefSeq and is a predicted model, not a curated record. NCBI's taxonomy places the organism in Eukaryota, Metazoa, Chordata, Mammalia, Primates, Cercopithecidae.
GGAAAGGACACGAGAAGGUUGACAUUUCAAAGUCUCUUCCAGGGCUAAAAAAGUGAGACUAGUUUAGAAGUAUUAGUGGAUUGUUAGAAAUACUGGGAGGAAAGCCGACAGAAAUGGCACUGCUUUCGAGGCAUGGCAAUCAAAUCUUUUGAAUAUAUAUGUCUGCGCUUUGCAUUUGACCCUGGUUGGAACAAGCAAAACAAAAACCGUGUUUCUUAUGCUAUAAACAAUAAAGGUGACCCAGAGAUCCUUUUAUCAACAUUUUAAUGGAUUCACUAUGAAAGAAGGCCUUUGCAUUGCUGCUGACUCCAUCAGAAUCUCAGAAGUGUUCCUGGAUCACAGAGGGGGACCCAGACAAUUAGAACCUGGAAGGCCUGCUACUCAUAGGCAUGAGGCCAGAAGACUUGCCCUAGUGCCGAAAUGUGGUUCUGUUAAUGUGUAUCUCAUGCCCAGUAUUUCUUAUUAAUAAGGCCCUAAAUAAGGGACAAUCCAGUGUUUCCAUUGCCAAAAGGAAACAUCUCCCUUUUAAUUAAUCAAUGUAAAUGGCCUCUUACUGGAAAAUAGAAGUAAAGUAUUUCUAGGACAUAGGAUAUAAUGUUACAUUGGGGAAUAUCAUGCCCUCUUUUUAUUUUAAAGUAGAGAUUGUUUUUUUAAUGCAGAGACACUAGGUCUGGACAAGCUGAGAGAGAGUUCAUUCACAAAUUAUUGCAGAACAUGUGCUAUUUGGGUAAACUCAGGACUUUUGUUUCCCAGUUCAUUUUUGCCACACUCGUUUACUUUCAAUCCAGUGGGAGCUCAGAUCAGGAAAAUUAUC